This 371-nucleotide ribosomal RNA is filed under the name uncultured Anaerolineaceae bacterium. RNAcentral describes it as "bacterial SSU rRNA". It matches the Rfam family "Bacterial small subunit ribosomal RNA", at positions 1001 to 1382 of the family's 1533-position model. The record is from RNAcentral. Lineage: Bacteria; Bacillati; Chloroflexota; Anaerolineae; Anaerolineales; Anaerolineaceae.
CCGAAACGGUGACCGACCUUCGGGGAGCUUGCACAGGUGCUGCAUGGCUGUCGUCAGCUCGUGUCGUGAGAUGUUCGGUUAAGUCCGCUAACGAGCGCAACCCUCGUCGUAUGUUAUAUGUGUCAUACGAGACUGCCGGUAAAAGCCGGAGGAAGGUGAGGAUUGAUGUCAAGUCAGCAUGACCUUUAUAUCCAGGGCUACACACACGCUACAAUGGUCUGUACAAUGGGUAGCCAAGCCGCGAGGCGGAGCCAAUCCUGAAAAGCAGGACCUCAGUUCAGAUUGCAGUCUGCAACUCGACUGCAUGAAGCCGGAGUUGCUAGUAACCGCAGGUCAGCAAUACUGCGGUGAAUUACCGGUUCCCGGGUCUU